Long non-coding RNA from Panicum virgatum (switchgrass), 1003 nucleotides. RefSeq lists it as uncharacterized. NCBI's taxonomy places the organism in Eukaryota, Viridiplantae, Streptophyta, Magnoliopsida, Poales, Poaceae. The record is from RefSeq and is a predicted model, not a curated record. The transcript has 3 exons.
CCAACCCAAACCCUAACUCUCCAGCUCCCUCUCAAUCCUAUCCCCUCCCCGCCUGCCGCCUCCCCUGGCGCCGCCGGGCGCUCGGCUUUCCCCCUCUCUAGCGCCGUCGACCUCUCUCACUCUCUCGCUCGCUCGGAGGCGGUGGUGGCGUGGAUGGCGUGGGCGGAGGGCGGGCUGCACGUGCUCCCGGCCGCCACGCUGCUCCCCUACGCGGCGUCCUGGCGUGCGUCCUGGCGUGGGCGCCGCUCAUGCUGGGCAACGGCCCAGCGCGCGCGGGCAUGGCCGCCGGCGCCUUGGUGUGCGCGCGUGGGUUCGACGCCGUGAACCUCGUCGCCGGUGACCUUGCCAAGUCGGCCGUCGCCUGGGCCGUUCUUGUCGCUGUCGUCAACAACAAGAUCUGAGCCCGCUCCUCCGUCCCGCCUGUUCAUGUGUCCUGUUCUCUCGUGUGUGCUAUUCAUGUUCCACCGUGUGCAGGCCUCUCUCUCCCUCUCUCUCAGACCCACCACUGCUCCCUUCCACAGAUCCAUCCGGCGGGAGCUCCAGCACCUCAUCGGGGACACGGGGCCCGGGGACCUGCACUUCUUCCACUACACCGGCAGGUGCUCAAGGCGGCAUUGCGGAGCCCUGGUUGAGGCAGCUCGGGUGAGCAGGAUACCAAGGCACCUCGAAUGAGCAGGGUACCACCACCAGCAGCAGUUAAGAGUCGUGGUGGUGGAGCAUGACCACAAUGGCGCAGGAUGUCUAGUGGGCAGAACCAAAGUUUAUGCAAAGAUGGAGAUAGUGGACAAGGUGAGAGGGGCGACAGCACACCCCAGUUAGCAGGAGCUAGGAGGUCAAUUAUAGCUUCUCGUGGAACUGCGUACUUGUGUUUGCAAUUAUGUUGAAACCUUUUUUUUUUGUUUCUGAUGCUGUGCAAGUGAUGCUAGUGGAAAAAAAAUGUAUGUGAUCUGUUGAUUUAAUAUCAUGCUGAAUGGAAACGUGAUUCAUGUGAUGCUAUUAUUUU